RNAcentral lists this ribosomal RNA (253 nucleotides) under uncultured bacterium. RNAcentral describes it as "partial 16S ribosomal RNA". It matches the Rfam family "Bacterial small subunit ribosomal RNA", at positions 524 to 776 of the family's 1533-position model. The record is from RNAcentral.
GACGUAGGGCGCGAGCGUUGUCCGGAUUUAUUGGGCGUAAAGAGCUCGUAGGCGGCUUGUCGCGUCGAAUGUGAAAUCUCAGGGCUCAACUCUGACAUUGCAUUCGAUACGGGCAGGCUAGAGUUCGGUAGGGGAGACUGGAAUUCCUGAUGUAGCGGUGAAAUGCGCAGAUAUCAGGAGGAACACCGGUGGCGAAGGCGGGUCUCUGGGCCGAUACUGACGCUGAGGAGCGAAAGCGUGGGGAGCGAACAGG